AAGACGAGGGCAAGGGAACCAAUUCAUUUCAGCACCUAGUCAUCAUGAAGCGCCUACUACGCACAAAGGACCGUGCUGUUGGGGUGGAAUGAAAAGGGGCCCAGGCAGAAGCCACGUUCGCUGGAAGGCGGGCAGAGCGCCACGGGAAGGCCUUGGAGCAGUGGGGACCCCAAAGCCCAGCAUCCCCAACUUCGGCGCGCAGAAGAGCCGCGGACUCCGGCGCUCCGCGCGCGCUCCCUGGGUCGGCGCCGCACGCGCACGCGCGCCCGCAGCCGCUCCCCCGCCCGCACAGCUCUGGCUCCCGCGCGCGCGCACUUGAGGCGUCCCUUGUGCGUCUCCUCCAUUCGCUACGUGCAGAAUGGGAAGACAAGCAUCUCACCGUGCGCACUCCGACAGGAGGGCAGGAGGCGGAAAGGUGGAAUAGCCCAGAAGAGCAGGCUGCUGCCCAGGCCCCUAGGCCACAUCCGAAGGACGUUAAGUCUAGAGCCCCAGGAAGGAAGGCGUCCUGGGUCAGUUUCAUUUCACAUAAACGGACUGUCCCUGGAUCCAGGGAAGCGGAUUCUCCCGUUUCCUCCCUGGUGCCUCAGUCUUUUUGGAGGCGCCCUCUGCUGGCCACUGGGAAGUGCAGGAAAGAACAGAGUCCUGCAGACUCAAAGAGCGUCUACAGAAAGGGACAAGAGGUAGAGACAACCGGGAGCCAACUGAGAGCGGUGGCUGGACUGCCACAAAUAAGAGAGGCAUGCUGAAGCCUUCUUGGAGGCCCCGUUCCAGACCCAGCCAGGGUGAAGAGGACUCCCAGGGGCGGAGAUCGAGGCCCAGGAGAGAACAGAGAGCAUCCUGCUUUAAUUGGAGAGCAUGAAGAGGUGGGCAAGGAUGUUCUGGAACACUGACCAUAGUCCAUCCUGAAUGGAAUUGGACUGACUCGACCCUCUCAUCUCCUGGAGCAGCUGGGUCUAAAGUGUGUGUGCACGGGUACAGACGUACAGGAGGAAAAUAUUAGGACGUCGCAGGUGCCCCAUAAAGAACCUGUUGAACUGUGAUUUGCCGUGAGCAUGGGAAGGAGAAUUCUGAAGGCAGACCGAUGAACCUUUGCAGAACACCUUCCUUCAGAAAUUAACAGCCACCUCAGCAGCCUGGGGUCCUCUCCAGGCUCACCCACUCCCUGGAGGGGCAUCCCAUCCCCACCUUUUUUCCACCCAACUCCUGUUUCUUUUUCUGCGCUGCGUUCACUUCAAG
RNAcentral lists this long non-coding RNA (1236 nucleotides) under Equus caballus (horse). RNAcentral's name for it is "lncRNA (ENSECAG00000029272.2)". The record is from RNAcentral. Lineage: Eukaryota; Metazoa; Chordata; Mammalia; Perissodactyla; Equidae.